Molecule: long non-coding RNA, 286 nt
Organism: Tympanuchus pallidicinctus (lesser prairie-chicken)
Lineage: Eukaryota; Metazoa; Chordata; Aves; Galliformes; Phasianidae
Exons: 3
Source: RefSeq, a predicted model, not a curated record
CUGACGAAGUAGGAAGGACUGGAAAUUGCAGCACUUUCCAGCAAUGCUUUUUCCAUUGUGGCAAUGCCCAGGCACUGAUUUUUGGGUUCUCACCUUGGUGCUCUUCUUUCCUUCUGACAGAACUGCAACUGUCACAUGUGCUGGGGCACAGAUAGACAAGUGAAAAAUCGAAGAGGAAGGUUUUGAAGAGAGAAGAGGCAUCACCUGGGUUCUGAAUACAGAAAGAACAGCAGAGGGAGCCCCUGCAUGGCUUAAAUCGUUGGUCUUGAAGAAAAUGGAGCAAGCG